GAUGAAGAACGUAGCGAAAUGCGAUAAGUAGUGUGAAUUGCAGAAUUCAGUGAAUCAUCGAAUCUUUGAACGCACAUUGCGCCUUCUAGUAUUCUGGGAGGCAUGCCUGUUUGAGCGUCAUUAAACCUCUCUCAAGUAUGAUUACUUGGAUGUGAAGGAAGAGUACCUUAAACUUAAGGAGUGUUCUCCUUUGAAAUUGAUUAGCAGAUGGUAAUGUUAUUAAAUCCCUGAUGUUGUAAGAAAUAACAGUGGUUUUGUAGACUAUUAUCUAGCUUUAAAUUAUAAUUUUUAUUAUGGUUGACCUCAAAUCAGGUAAGGAUACCCGCUGAACUUAAGCAUAUUAAUAAGCGGAGGA
RNAcentral lists this unclassified non-coding RNA (355 nucleotides) under soil metagenome. RNAcentral's name for it is "partial contains 5.8S ribosomal RNA, internal transcribed spacer 2, and large subunit ribosomal RNA". The stretch from base 1 to 120 matches the Rfam family "5.8S ribosomal RNA", at positions 35 to 154 of the family's 154-position model. The record is from RNAcentral.